GCGGACGGGAGCCCCGGGCGCGCCGGGGCACCUGCCGCGCUGCCUCCCGCAGCCUGCUGGGAGCAGGGCCCUCGGGAUCGGCAGCUUCAGCGAUUAAAAACAGCUCUCCGGGACAAGGAAUAAUCCCCCAGACCCUUUUCCACAAAGGCUGCAAAGCCCCGAAACGCCCGAGAGCGAGAGGGGCGCGAAGCAGGUCUGCGCGGCCCGGGCAAGGGGCCGUUUCCCCUGUCCAACGUGCAAAUACUUGGCGACGACGGCGUGUCUGCGUACUGCCGUAUCCGCCUCCCUCUCCGCGCUCGUCUUUAAGGCAACGAGAAGCAGCACGUUACCGGGCUCCAGCCAGAAAACUGGAUGUUUCCUAGUCAAUAAAAUAAAAAAGAAAUUCCCA
RNAcentral lists this long non-coding RNA (388 nucleotides) under Struthio camelus australis. RNAcentral's name for it is "lncRNA (ENSSCUG00000001160.1)". The record is from RNAcentral. Lineage: Eukaryota; Metazoa; Chordata; Aves; Struthioniformes; Struthionidae.